UACGUAGGGUGCAAGCGUUGUUCGGAAUUACUGGGCGUAAAGGGAGUGUAGGCGGAACCAUAAGUUAGGAGUUUAAUCCACCGGCUCAACCGGUGUUCGGCUCUUAAUACUGUGGUCCUUGAGUAUGGGAGAGGGUGAUGGAAUUCCAGGUGUAGCGGUGGAAUGCGUAGAUAUCUGGAAGAACACCAGUAGCGAAGGCGGUCGCCUGGCCCAAUACUGACGCUGAGGCUCGAAAGCUAGGGGAGCAAACAGG
This 253-nucleotide ribosomal RNA is filed under the name uncultured bacterium. RNAcentral describes it as "partial 16S ribosomal RNA". It matches the Rfam family "Bacterial small subunit ribosomal RNA", at positions 524 to 776 of the family's 1533-position model. The record is from RNAcentral.